This 253-nucleotide ribosomal RNA is filed under the name uncultured bacterium. RNAcentral describes it as "partial 16S ribosomal RNA". It matches the Rfam family "Bacterial small subunit ribosomal RNA", at positions 524 to 776 of the family's 1533-position model. The record is from RNAcentral.
UACGGAGGGGGCAAGCGUUGUUCGGAAUCACUGGGCGUAAAGCGCGUGUAGGCGGCCGGGCAAGUCGGAUGUGAAAUCCCGAGGCUCAACCUCGGAACUGCAUUCGAAACUGCUCGGCUCGAGUCCCGGAGAGGGUGGCGGAAUUCCCGGUGAAGGGGUGAAAUCCGUAGAUAUCGGGAUGAACACCAGUGGCGAAGGCGGCCAUCUGGACGUUGACUGACGCUUAGACGCGAAAGCGUGGGUAGGAAACAGG